GGAAACGAUUGCUAAUACCCCAUAUGCUUAAAAUAAAAUAUUUAAGUGAAAUGGAAGUUCCGCCUAAAGAAAAGCUUGCGGCUGAUUAGCUUGUUGGUGAGGUAAAAGCUUACCAAGGCGACGAUCAGUAUCUGGUUUGAGAGGACGAUCAGACACACUGGAACUGAGACACGGUCCAGACUUCUACGGGAGGCAGCAGUAGGGAAUUUUCCGCAAUGGGCGCAAGCCUGACGGAGCAAUACCGCGUAGGGGAUGACGGCUUACGAGUUGUAAACCCUUUUUUUUUCAGGGAGGAAAAAAAUGACGUGUACCUGAAGAAUAAGCAUCGGCUAACUCCGUGCCAGCAGCCGCGGUAAUACGGAGGGGGCUAGCGUUGUUCGGAAUUACUGGGCGUAAAGCGCACGUAGGCGGACUGGAAAGUCAGAGGUGAAAUCCCAGGGCUCAACCUUGGAACUGCCUUUGAAACUAUCAGUCUGGAGUUCGAGAGAGGUGAGUGGAAUUCCGAGUGUAGAGGUGAAAUUCGUAGAUAUUCGGAGGAACACCAGUGGCGAAGGCGACUUUCUGGUCUGUAACUGACGCUGAGGCGCGAAAGCGUGGGGAGCAAACAGGAUUAGAUACCCUGGUAGU
This 627-nucleotide ribosomal RNA is filed under the name Grammatophora oceanica. RNAcentral's name for it is "partial Bacterial small subunit ribosomal RNA". It matches the Rfam family "Bacterial small subunit ribosomal RNA", at positions 152 to 794 of the family's 1533-position model. The record is from RNAcentral. Lineage: Eukaryota; Bacillariophyta; Fragilariophyceae; Rhabdonematales; Grammatophoraceae.